This 60-nucleotide transfer RNA is filed under the name Dixonius somchanhae. RNAcentral's name for it is "Dixonius sp. MLe-2021a tRNA-Cys". Lineage: Eukaryota; Metazoa; Chordata; Lepidosauria; Squamata; Gekkonidae. The record is from RNAcentral.
GGCCCUGAGAGAGCGCAAAGUGCAAAUUUGUUACAGCACCCCUAAAGGGUGCCGGGGCUU